Molecule: long non-coding RNA, 372 nt
Organism: Schistocerca nitens (vagrant locust)
Lineage: Eukaryota; Metazoa; Arthropoda; Insecta; Orthoptera; Acrididae
Exons: 5
Source: RefSeq, a predicted model, not a curated record
CGGAGACGGCGCCGGAAGCAAGGACGACGGCGGCGGCGGCGGCGGCGGCGGCGGCGGCGGUGGCUGCUGCUCGUGUUGCUGCUGUUGCUGCUGCUGCAAGCCACGAGCAGGGGCCGAGGCGAGCAGCGAAGGCAGCGCGGGCUGGUGGCGGCCCACAAUGCUGCUGUUGCUGCUCGUGCUGCUGCUCGUCGUCUUCGUCCUCAUCUCGGGCAUCCUGCUCUACUACAACUAUAUCACCUACAGACCCAGACUACCACUGACAGAUGAUUUCAGCUACGAUAUACCUCCAAUUCCUACAGAAGAGCCAUGCGAGGAGGCGCCUUGCUGGUGGGGCGCGGAGUGUGAGUCGGUGGAGGGCCGCCCGCUCUGCCG